CCUACGGGGGGCAGCAGUGAGGAAUAUUGGUCAAUGGACGAGAGUCUGAACCAGCCAAGUAGCGUGAAGGAUGACUGCCCUAUGGGUUGUAAACUUCUUUUAUAUGGGAAUAAAAUGUUCCACGUGUGGGAUUUUGUAUGUACCAUAUGAAUAAGGAUCGGCUAACUCCGUGCCAGCAGCCGCGGUAAUAAGGAGGAUCCGAGCGUUAUCCGGAUUUAUUGGGUUUAAAGGGAGCGUAGGUGGAUUGUUAAGUCAGUUGUGAAAGUUUGCGGCUCAACCGUAAAAUUGCAGUUGAAACUGGCAGUCUUGAGUACAGUAGAGGUGGGCGGAAUUCGUGGUGUAGCGGUGAAAUGCUUAGAUAUCACGAAGAACUCCGAUUGCGAAGGCAGUUCACUGGACUGCAACUGACACUGAGGCUCGAAAGUGUGGGUAUCAAACAGGAUUAGAUACCCCUGUAGUC
Molecule: ribosomal RNA, 460 nt
Filed under: uncultured bacterium
Lineage: Bacteria
Description: partial 16S ribosomal RNA
Rfam family: Bacterial small subunit ribosomal RNA
Source: RNAcentral